UACGUAGGGGGCAAGCGUUGUCCGGAAUUAUUGGGCGUAAAGCGCGUGUAGGCGGCUUUGCAAGUCGGGUGUGAAAGCCCUCAGCUUAACUGAGGAAGUGCGCCCGAAACUGCAUGGCUUGAGUACCGGAGAGGAUGGUGGAAUUCCCGAAGUAGAGGUGAAAUUCGUAGAUAUCGGGAGGAACACCGGUGGCGAAGGCGACCAUCUGGACGGAUACUGACGCUGAGACGCGAAAGCGUGGGUAGCAAACAGG
RNAcentral lists this ribosomal RNA (253 nucleotides) under uncultured bacterium. RNAcentral's name for it is "partial 16S ribosomal RNA". It matches the Rfam family "Bacterial small subunit ribosomal RNA", at positions 524 to 776 of the family's 1533-position model. The record is from RNAcentral.